CCUGGGUAGCUGCGGGAAUGGACGGUGCUGUCACCGUGGCGACGGCAGCUGGGCGAGGUCCAGAACAAUCCUGGAAGUCGGAGGGCAGCCAGGGCCCCAGAAGGACCCCUGUUAUCAAAGCUGCGAGCGGAUUUGAGGACCCAGUGGAGAAUGAAGAGGCCCAGAUCCAAGCUGACUAAUUUUGGCUACGGGAGGAAAUGCAGACCGAUUUCUACUCUGCAGAAACAGAGUGUGGGACAGAAACAGGACGUGUGUCCCCAGUGCCGGGCUGCGAAUGGGAGUGAUGGCUGCUCCUUUUGCCUUUGGUUUCUACACAUCAGCUAAUUCCCCAUCAUGCCCCAGGAAUGGAGGCGUAGAGAAUGACCAGGGCUGCAGUGCGGAGGAACGUGUAAUACAGGGGUCCGAUGGCACAGGCCCCUGACCUGAACCGUUGGUCCUCAGAGGAAACAGCAUGGAGAGAUGGUGGGCCGGAAGGCGCAGAGAGACCAGAGGGUCACAAGACCUGUUUCCCACUUGUUCCUGAAGCCGAGAUCCAGGAAGAGCUUUGAGAGUCUCUACCCACUCAUUUCCAGAUUUCCCAGGGUCUACGAGGUCUAACAGAGAGGAUCCUCAGUUUUCCCAGAUCCUGGAAACAAAAUCUCUAAAAAAAUCACCAACUUUUUUU
Zalophus californianus (California sea lion) is the source of this 664-nucleotide long non-coding RNA. RefSeq lists it as uncharacterized. The transcript has 2 exons. NCBI's taxonomy places the organism in Eukaryota, Metazoa, Chordata, Mammalia, Carnivora, Otariidae. The record is from RefSeq and is a predicted model, not a curated record.